UGGAGUGGGCGAGGCGGUUGCCCCUGCUUCUCCUAGCGAGAAGAAAGGGGAGGAAAGUCCGAACUCCACAGGGCAGGAUGGUCGCUAACCGCGACUCCGGGCGACCGGAGGAAAGUGCCACAGAAAAGACACCGCCGAAGGGGAGGGGCAACCCUCUCCUGGCAAGGGUGAAAAGGCGAGGUAAGAGCUCACCGCCCCGAUGGCGACACCGGGGGCAGGGUAAACCCCAUCCGGAGCAAGACCAAACGAGCCCCGCAGUGGGAUGGCCCGUUCCGAGGGGUGGGUAGGUCGCUGGACCUCCGGAGCAAUCCGGAGGGGAGACAAAUAACCGCCGCCCGCCGCGAGGCGGGAGACAGAAUUCGGCUUACGGCCCGCUCCAACCG
This 383-nucleotide RNase P RNA is filed under the name Candidatus Aminicenantota bacterium. RNAcentral's name for it is "RNase P RNA component class A". It matches the Rfam family "Bacterial RNase P class A". Rfam says of the family: Ribonuclease P (RNase P) is a ubiquitous endoribonuclease, found in archaea, bacteria and eukarya as well as chloroplasts and mitochondria. The record is from RNAcentral. Lineage: Bacteria; Candidatus Aminicenantota.